GACGAACGCUGGCGGCGUGCUUAACACAUGCAAGUCGAACGGAAAGGCCUUGAGCUUGCUGCGUGUACUCGAGGCGCGAACGGGUGAGUAACACGUGUAUGAUCUCCCUUACACUUGGGGAUAAUCUGGGAAAAGGGGCUCAUAUACCGUAUAGGACCCCGCUGCAUGGUGGGUGGUGGAAAGUUUUUUCGGUUGAGGAUGGGCUCGCGGCCUAUCAGCUUGUUGGUGGGGUAGUGGCCUACCAAGGCGUCGACGGGUAGCCGGCCUGAGAGGGUGUCCGGCCACAUUGGGACUGAGAUACGGCCCAGACUCCUACGGGAGGCAGCAGUGGGGAAUAUUGCACAAUGGGCGGAAGCCUGAUGCAGCAACGCCGCGUGCGGGAUGAAGGCCUUCGGGUUGUAAACCCCUUUCGACUGGGACGAAGCGUUUGUGACGGUACCUGGAAAAGAAGCACCGGCUAACUACGUG
Molecule: ribosomal RNA, 468 nt
Filed under: uncultured bacterium
Lineage: Bacteria
Description: partial 16S ribosomal RNA
Rfam family: Bacterial small subunit ribosomal RNA
Source: RNAcentral